ACUGAAUUACAACUGUACAAAACUAACUAACUAACUCUAAAAGCUAAGCAAAACAGAAACGCGUAUCAGAACCAAAAACAGAGCUUCAGAGCUUCAGAACUUAUAUCAGCUUCAGAGGUUGUGAGGUUCAGAGGUUACAUUGCUUCAGAGGCUGAAGCGCUGGUUCAGAGGUUACAUUGCUUCAGAGGCUGAAGCGCUGGUUCAGAGGUUAUAAUGCUUCAGAGCUUGAAUUACCAAUCAAACCAAUAGAU
Molecule: long non-coding RNA, 251 nt
Filed under: Trifolium pratense (red clover)
Lineage: Eukaryota; Viridiplantae; Streptophyta; Magnoliopsida; Fabales; Fabaceae
Description: long non-coding RNA (TPRA_LNC010706)
Source: RNAcentral